UACGUAGGGUGCGAGCGUUGUCCGGAAUUAUUGGGCGUAAAGGGCUCGUAGGCGGUUUGUCGCGUCGGGAGUGAAAACUCAGGGCUCAACCCUGAGCCUGCUUCCGAUACGGGCAGACUAGAGGUAUGCAGGGGAGAACGGAAUUCCUGGUGUAGCGGUGAAAUGCGCAGAUAUCAGGAGGAACACCGGUGGCGAAGGCGGAUCUCUGGGCCGUAACUGACGCUGAGGAGCGAAAGCAUGGGGAGCGAACAGG
RNAcentral lists this ribosomal RNA (253 nucleotides) under uncultured bacterium. RNAcentral describes it as "partial 16S ribosomal RNA". It matches the Rfam family "Bacterial small subunit ribosomal RNA", at positions 524 to 776 of the family's 1533-position model. The record is from RNAcentral.